Non-coding RNA from Podarcis lilfordi (Lilford's wall lizard), 65 nucleotides. NCBI's taxonomy places the organism in Eukaryota, Metazoa, Chordata, Lepidosauria, Squamata, Lacertidae. The record is from the annotation of a GenBank genome assembly.
GACCUCAGUGGCAGAGGGCUGGCUUUGCAAGCAGACUGUCCCCGGUUCAAUCCCUGGCAUCUACA